GCGGCCCGGAUAUCUCUGCGCGGCAGCCCCCGCGGUCGAUCAAUCUCAGUCCCGCACUGCCGUCCCGCCCCGCCCUGUGCCCGCCAAUCCACGACGCCAUAAUCCCCCGCCGUGUCCCUCCCUUCCUCCCCAUUGGUUGUGACCGCACGUCAGCCCGACUCAGCCUGCCAAUCGCAGGACCCAGAGGGCCCUCUCCCCCGCCCGCUCAGUGUAAUUCGAGUUCCCUGUCCAUCGACUCCAAGUCCUCUCUCCUGCGCCGCAUGCUGCCUCGCGCUCCCUUUCCUUCCCCCUCUACCCCCUUCCGCGAUUUACUGUUUCCUCGCGCCCAACAGAAAUGGGCGACCGCAAGUCUUACUCUCGCCGGCGUUACAAAGAAAGGAAGGAGGAGACCUGAACAGUACAUCCGGAGAAUCCAGCAAAGCAUACUACGGCAUGAACGUGCAAGUGGACAGAAUUAAAACACAUGCCAGAAACACUAAUGGAUUCUAAACAAGAUGCAGUUUCAUUUCCUGAGCCUAUACGUGAUGUUUUUAACUGUUCUCCAGUUAAUAUGUCUCCAUUUCCAGAAAUCUAACAGGAGAAUCUCUGACUGCUUAACAGAUCACCUAAGCUUGCGAUUUGUGCAAUCCUUUCUAGAGUAAGGGCUCCCCGGCUGCUCCCCGGCCACUGUGUACCCAAAGCAGCGGCUGAAAUAGCCCGGAGUCCAACAGCUCAGCGUCAAGCAGCUCGUGGCAAACGCAGCCGCCGGUCUUGACUGCCAUCGCCCAAGGGGUUCCUCUGGGCUCUCCCGCGAGCCAACAGCCGACCUCUCUCCAGCCUAGUCUGGGAAACUCCAGCCAACCCAGGAUCCCAUUUUGUAGUCCCGGGCAGACCCGAAACCCCUGAAAGAACUCCACUCCAGAAGACGCCAGAACAAGUUCCCACGAAUUUCAUGGGCGCCCUUCACAUGAAAACCUCAGCUCCCCUAUCCUCAAGGAACGGGGAAGGGCGCCGGGGAGGGACUUCGGUGGCCAGCUGUCCCUGGGUCGUGGGCGCUGUUUGCUCUGCGGAGCGCCAGCCCUGCACACAGCGGGUGCGGGAAGCGUUGAUGGGAGGCUGGAGGGCGGGGUGAGCGUAAACUAGGAUCUAGCCGGUUCCAGGCGUGGAGAAUCAAAUGUGGUCCUAGAUCUGUAAGUUGCGAAAAGGGGCUUUUGGGAGCGUCAGAGCUUUCUCACUCCGGUCCCCCGCCGCCUUGAGGCUGGCAGAUUUAUACCCCACAGGUGGAUGGAGACCUAAACAAAACAGUCCCGGCCGCUGCCUGCCGCUCGCCCCCCACGUCCCCCGGGCCCACCGCAAACUUCAACAAAAUAAACAACUCACCACAGGCAUUCCCUUGUCUGCAGCGCGACGCUUGCCAGCUGGGAAAAUAAGCCGCAAGCCACGCGGCCGAGGC
This 1432-nucleotide long non-coding RNA is filed under the name Homo sapiens (human). RNAcentral's name for it is "HSALNT0091919". The record is from RNAcentral. Lineage: Eukaryota; Metazoa; Chordata; Mammalia; Primates; Hominidae.